GACGAACCGUGCGAACGUUGUUCGGAAUCACUGGGCUUAAAGGGCGCGUAGGCGGGCAUUCAAGUCAGGGGUGAAAUCCUCCAGCUUAACUGGAGAACUGCCUCUGAUACUGGAUAUCUCGAGGAAGGUAGGGGCGUGCGGAACAGUUGGUGGAGCGGUGAAAUGCGUUGAUAUCAACUGGAACUCCGGUGGCGAAGGCGGCACGCUGGACCUUUUCUGACGCUGAGGCGCGAAAGCCAGGGGAGCAAACGGG
This 253-nucleotide ribosomal RNA is filed under the name uncultured bacterium. RNAcentral describes it as "partial 16S ribosomal RNA". It matches the Rfam family "Bacterial small subunit ribosomal RNA", at positions 524 to 776 of the family's 1533-position model. The record is from RNAcentral.